AAGACUAUCCUCUCCAUGAUCAUUUCUAUAGUUUGUUAUUAGAGUAGUUUCUCUCAAUGCAUAGAGCAUCAGAAACCACAAGCAAGAGGUGCAGUGGUCUCUCCUCUUGGUGUUGCUUCUUGGUUCUUCUCUCCCUUUGGGAGAGGAAGAGAAAGAGGGUACAGUCUUAGCAGU
This is a small nucleolar RNA of Callithrix jacchus (white-tufted-ear marmoset), 174 nucleotides long. Its record names the gene U3. It matches the Rfam family "Small nucleolar RNA U3". Rfam says of the family: Small nucleolar RNAs (snoRNAs) are involved in the processing and modification of rRNA in the nucleolus. There are two main classes of snoRNAs: the box C/D class, and the box H/ACA class. U3 snoRNA is a member of the box C/D class. The record is from Ensembl. NCBI's taxonomy places the organism in Eukaryota, Metazoa, Chordata, Mammalia, Primates, Cebidae.